This 468-nucleotide ribosomal RNA is filed under the name uncultured bacterium. RNAcentral's name for it is "partial 16S ribosomal RNA". It matches the Rfam family "Bacterial small subunit ribosomal RNA", at positions 28 to 507 of the family's 1533-position model. The record is from RNAcentral.
GACGUGGGCUUGCGGCGUGCUUGACACAUUUAAGUCGAACGGAAAGGCCCUGCAUUUGUGGUGUGCUCGAUUUGCUAACGGAUGAGUAACGCGUGAGUAACCUGCCCAUGGCUUUCGUAUAACUGCAGUAAACUGGGGCUAAUACCGGAUAGGAGCUCCUGCUGCAUUGUGGGGGUUGGAAAGUUUCGGCGGUUGGUGAUGGACUCGCGGCUUAUCAGCGUGUUGGUGGGGUAGUGGCUUACCAAGGCUUUGACGGGUAGCCGGCCUGAUAGGGUGACCGGCUACAUUGGGACUGAGAUAAGGCCCAGACUCCUACGGCAGGCAGCCAUGAGGAAUACUGCACAAUGGGCGGAAGUCUGCUGCAGCAACGCCGCGUGCGGGAUGAAGGCCUUCGGGUUGUAAACCGUUUUCGCCUGCGACGAAGCGUGAGUGACGGUAAUGGGUAAAGAAGCACCGGCUAACUACGUG